AGAGUUUGAUUCUGGCUCAGGACGAACGCUGGCGGCGUGCCUAACACAUGCAAGUCGAACGAAGCUCCCUGACGUAAGACUUCGGUCAAGCUGAUGGGAUGACUUAGUGGCGGACGGGUGAGUAACGCGUGAGGAACCUGCCUUUCAGUGGGGGACAACAGUUGGAAACGACUGCUAAUACCGCAUAAUGUACUUUGGGGACAUCCCCGAGGUAUCAAAGAUUUAUUGCUGAAAGAUGGCCUCGCGUCUGAUUAGAUAGUUGGUGGGGUAACGGCCCACCAAGUCGACGAUCAGUAGCCGGACUGAGAGGUUGAACGGCCACAUUGGGACUGGGAUACGGCCCAG
Molecule: ribosomal RNA, 345 nt
Filed under: uncultured bacterium
Lineage: Bacteria
Description: bacterial SSU rRNA
Rfam family: Bacterial small subunit ribosomal RNA
Source: RNAcentral